CUACGGGUCGCUGCAGUGGGGAAUAUUGCACAAUGGGCGCAAGCCUGAUGCAGCCAUGCCGCGUGUAUGAAGAAGGCCUUCGGGUUGUAAAGUACUUUCAGCGGGGAGGAAGGGAGUAAAGUUAAUACCUUUGCUCAUUGACGUUACCCGCAGAAGAAGCACCGGCUAACUCCGGUGCCAGCAGCCGCGGUAAUACGGAGGGUGCAAGCGUUAAUCGGAAUUACUGGGCGUAAAGCGCACGCAGGCGGUUUGUUAAGUCAGAUGUGAAAUCCCCGGGCUCAACCUGGGAACUGCAUCUGAUACUGGCAAGUUUGAGUCUCGUAGAGGGGGGUAGAAUUCCAGGUGUAGCGGUGAAAUGCGUAGAGAUCUGGAGGAAUACCGGUGGCGAAGGCGGCCCCCUGGACGAAGACUGACGCUCAGGCGCGAAAGCGUGGGGAGCAAACAGGAUUAGAUACCCGCGUAGUC
RNAcentral lists this ribosomal RNA (465 nucleotides) under uncultured bacterium. RNAcentral's name for it is "partial 16S ribosomal RNA". It matches the Rfam family "Bacterial small subunit ribosomal RNA", at positions 339 to 795 of the family's 1533-position model. The record is from RNAcentral.